This 449-nucleotide long non-coding RNA is filed under the name Astyanax mexicanus (Mexican tetra). RNAcentral's name for it is "lncRNA (ENSAMXG00005004887.1)". The record is from RNAcentral. Lineage: Eukaryota; Metazoa; Chordata; Actinopteri; Characiformes; Acestrorhamphidae.
UUGUAAGGCACAUUUUAAGCAACAAUAGUAAGGAACAGCGGUGUCGAAAUGUUUCCCUUUUAAGUCAAACGAGUCCUGGAUGUUAAUCUACACAGAUUUCUCCUCUGAAAACUGCUUAUUUGGGAAGUCGAGUGAUUGCAGUGCAGGAAACCAAACUGCAGGAGGAGUACAGACCUACACCACUGACUAGCACUUUUAACAGCACUAAAGAGAACCUGAAACAACAUCACGGGAUCUUCUGCAGAAAUCAUCAUCGAGUCCCUUACUCAGAAUUAUGAUGGCUCUGAGGCUCAGACCUGUGUUUCCUGACCACAUUUCCUGAAAAACGAGUUCACUUAAAGGACUGACCCUCCUAUUGGGCAGAGUGGGAUAAAGGACCUCCGCCUGCACUGACAGGAAAGCGAAACCAGUGCACUAACUGGAUCUACCGUACUUUAUUUUGUGUUCAU